RNAcentral lists this long non-coding RNA (1473 nucleotides) under Capra hircus (goat). RNAcentral's name for it is "lncRNA (ENSCHIG00000001280.1)". The record is from RNAcentral. Lineage: Eukaryota; Metazoa; Chordata; Mammalia; Artiodactyla; Bovidae.
CAUGGAAUAACUGAAUCAAGCUUACAACCAUUCCAAAAUAUAGACAAGAAAAAUACUUGGCUUGUAACCAGUAGAGAUGAUAACAGCUUCAUCUACUUUACCAGUUUGUCUCUACUACCCUCUAGUGGAACUGUAGUCAUAAUAGCCUUACAGCAUUGCCUCCAGAUUUAACACACACACACGUGCACGCACAUACACGUGCACGCACACACACGUGCACGCACACACACGUGCACGCUUGUAUGCGUGUAGAGCAUGUGUGCACGUGUGAGUGUGUGUGUGUGUGUAGAGAUUUAUAAAUUUCUGCCUUGUAGAGUUGGUCCCAGCCUUGAAUAUGAGAAAUGCCCGGAGGGAGUUAUCUUUUAACUGGCAUUCUUGUUCCUCUUCCUGGUGGCUCAGAAGUACUUGGCUCAAGGUACCAGCUAAAGGAAGAUAUUUAAUUAAUUAGCACAAAAGAAGUAUGAUCACUUGCUGCAUUUUUCUCAUCUGGGCCUCUCCUGUCAAGCUCAAUGAGAAUAGAUAUCUAAUUCAUCUUUGGAUAUUUGGUUGCCACCAAAUAAUACAAGAUAAACUGAAGAAACUCAAAUAUUUGGUUCCUCCCUGCGGCAUGUUAGUUCCCUGACCAGGGAUCAAACCUGCGCCUCUUGCAGUGGAAACAAGGAAUCAAUCGCUGAAACACCAAGAAAGUUCCCUAGUUCUAAAAUACUGUUGCAAAGCUGAACCUCUUCCGAGCAGCCUCUCAGAAGAGCAUUCAGGGCUCUUUUAGAUUCUGACUCCAAAUUCCCUUCCCUGCUUAACACCUAAGGGGCCCUCUACCCUCUGAUCAAGGCACCCUAAAUUAUAUGGGCAGACUUCAGGGCUUUACUCAUACAACUUCUGCCUGGAAGGCCUGCCUCACCAUUCCUUCUCCAGUGUUCCUAGAGAAUGUCAUAUCCAAUGUUUCUUCAAAUGUCACAUCCUCUUUUUGAAUGGGUAAUUUCCUCCUCUAUGUUCUCAUGUCACCUUAGAGCAUAAGUUACAGCGUAAGUGCCAGAAGCAAGUUACAAGUAAUGGUUGUGUUCUCCCACUCCCAACAUCUCAAGCAGGAAAAUACCUGACUGAUCUUUGUGACAUUGUAUAGAAGUUGACCCAAUGAACAGUAAAUUGUAUUUGCCAAGAUGAGAGCCUAAAUUUAGAAUAACCCCUGAACCCUUGUGGCUCAGCUGGUGAAGAUUCCCCCUCAGUGCGGAAGACCUGGGUUCGAUCCCUGCAUUGGGAAGAUUCCUCUGGAGAACGGAAAGGCUACCCACUCCAGUAUUCUGGCCUGGAAAAUUCCAUGGACUGUAUAGUCCAUGGGGUCGCAAAGAGUUAAACAUGACUGAGUGACUUGCACUUCGCUUCAUCCCACCUGAAACUUUAAAAGAUAACUAAAAACAAAUAAAAACAAGCUGCAAAAAUAGAGAAAGAUAACUGAGUUAAAUUUAAAUAAAAAUC